RNAcentral lists this ribosomal RNA (497 nucleotides) under uncultured bacterium. Its description in RNAcentral is "partial 16S ribosomal RNA". It matches the Rfam family "Bacterial small subunit ribosomal RNA", at positions 28 to 507 of the family's 1533-position model. The record is from RNAcentral.
GAUGAACGCUGGCGGCGUGCCUAAUACAUGCAAGUCGAGCGAACAGAUGAGGAGCUUGCUCCUCUGACGUUAGCGGCGGACGGGUGAGUAACACGUGGAUAACCUACCUAUAAGACUGGGAUAACUUCGGGAAACCGUAGCUAAUACCGGAUAAUAUAUUGAACCGCAUGGUUCAAUAGUGAAAGACGGUUUUGCUGUCACUUAUAGAUGGAUCCGCCCCGCAUUAGCUAGUUGGUAAGGUAACGGCUUACCAAGGCAACGAUGCGUAGCCGACCUGAGAGGGUGAUCGGACACACUGGAACUGAGACACGGUCCAGACUCCUACGGGAGGCAGCAGUAGGGAAUCUUCCGCAAGGGGCGAAAGCCUGACGGAGCAACGCCGCGUGAGGGAUGAAGGUCUUCGGAUCGUAAAACUCUGUUAUUAGGGAAGAACAAAUGUGUAAGUAACUAUGCACGUCUUGACGGUACCUAAUCAGAAAGCCACGGCUAACUACGUG